Molecule: ribosomal RNA, 497 nt
Filed under: uncultured bacterium
Lineage: Bacteria
Description: partial 16S ribosomal RNA
Rfam family: Bacterial small subunit ribosomal RNA
Source: RNAcentral
GAUGAACGCUGGCGGCGUGCCUAAUACAUGCAAGUCGAGCGAACAGACGAGGAGCUUGCUCCUCUGACGUUAGCGGCGGACGGGUGAGUAACACGUGGAUAACCUACCUAUAAGACUGGGAUAACUUCGGGAAACCGGAGCUAAUACCGGAUAAUAUAUUGAACCGCAUGGUUCAAUAGUGAAAGACGGUUUUGCUGUCACUUAUAGAUGGAUCCGCGCCGCAUUAGCUAGUUGGUAAGGUAACGGCUUACCGAGGCAACGAUGCGUAGCCGACCUGAGAGGGUGAGCGGCCACACUGGCACUGAGACACGGUCCAGACUCCUACGGGAGGCAGCAGUAGGGAAUCUUCCGCAAUGGGCGAAAGCCUGACGGAGCAACGCCGCGUGAGUGAUGAAGGUCUUCGGAUCGUAAAACUAUGUUAUUAGGGAAGAACAAAUGUGUAAGUAACUAUGCACGUCUUGACGGUACCUAAUCAGAAAGCCACGGCUAACUACGUG